Molecule: long non-coding RNA, 1610 nt
Organism: Halichondria panicea
Lineage: Eukaryota; Metazoa; Porifera; Demospongiae; Suberitida; Halichondriidae
Exons: 3
Source: RefSeq, a predicted model, not a curated record
AUUUGGAAUGGCUACUGCAAGUUAAGUUGUAUUGUGUUAGACAGUGCUAUAGCUGACGCUCUAUCUUCCCUGAAACUUGGAGAUCUUAUUCUAAAGUCAGAGCAAGUAAAGGCUAUAAACCUGCUUUCUCAAGGUCAUGAUGUCUUUGUGUGGUUCCCGACUGGUUAUGGCAAAUCCAUAUGCUAUCAAGUGCUCCCAUUUGUGUUUGAUAGGCUGCUAGGUAGAUCUGAAUCUCCAAGCGUUGAUCAGAGUGUUGUGCUGGUAGUGUUGCCGUUGGUUUCUCUGAUGGUGGACCAAGUGAAGAGUUUGCGAGCUAGAGGAGUUGGUGCUGCCAUUAUCAGCUCCAACAGAGGGAUAGACCGUAGCCUGGUGGCUACUGACUGUGGUAUUGGCAGUGGGAGCUAUAGGAUUCUUUACUCAGCCCCUGAGGCUCUAGUUGGUGAUCAUGGCUCGAGUUGGACCAAAGUGUUACUGUCUCCUCCUGUCUGCAACACUUUGGUUGCUAUAUAUUGCUGUAGACGAGGCAGGCUCACUGUGUUUACAAAUGGAGUUCUUAUUUCCGUCCCUGUUAUGGUCGUAUUUGUGACUUGAGAGCCUAUGCUCCACCGGGUACGCCGAUGCUUGCAGCCACUGCAACAGUAACAGAGAAGAUGAGAAGGCAGAUUGUCGGAACUCUUGACAUGCGAGGGUGCAAAUUUGUUCGCUACUAUGGCCCUCGGUAUGGGUAUGAACUUUAAGGAUUUGACUUCUAUUGUCCACUAUGGAGCUCCAAGAUCACUUGAAGACUACUUUCAAGAAAGUGGUCGGGGAGGAGAAUUGUCCACGUCUACCAUAUACUGGUCACCAUCAGAUGUCCCCAAUAGGAAAGACAAAACGACCCCAUGUGAGCUGGUGGACUAAGUCAGGUGGCAGAGAAGCAAGUUGAAAUUGAAGCUUAAGCGAUUCGAGUGCAUACUUCGUAUUCCUAUUCGCAAAGAAGUGGAUUUUCCAACAUCUUAGCAUUCGUAGUCCAUCACCUUCGUGCCAACCAUUGUAGAACUCUGAAACAAGAGCAGGAAAGUGACAAAGAACAUGCGCAUAAUUGUUGACAACAUCACUACUGUCAUUAAGGGGCUGUCCAAGAAUCGCUUCUGGUACUAUAGUCCACUUGUCAACAAUUGCACUGGCAACGUCUGAAAGUUUGACUUUAACCUUAGCUCCAGUGCUGUCAAGUGGAAAGUCGUCUACACUCUUUAUGCCAAGUUCCAAACGAGCAGCUUCCACUAGAUGCCCAUAAAACGCUGUAAGAAGACCUGCGUGGAGAUUCUUCUUUGGUUUGUUUGCAUCAGGGAGUCGACCGAUCUUGUGCCGAAGUGUGCCGUGAUCUCUUGGGCUGGUCUUAAAGAGGUGUUUCCAAACAAGCUGCAAUGUAACACCCUAUAGGUCACAUUACUAGCCAUGCAGUCCAUACCAUCAAGAAAUUGAGGAGACAGUGCCAAUCUGCUAUACAUGGCUCUAGGUGAUGAGACGACCAGAGGGUGUGUUAGAGCAAAUAACGUGUCUUUUGCUUCCGUCCUGCCUCUCCUUCGUGAGUAGGUCACCCACCGACAAACAUGUGUUAGCGCUGUCUC